UGCCGGCGACCGGCGGACGGGUGCGUAACGCGUAUGUAACCUACCUUUGACAGGGGGAUAACAUCGAGAAAUUGGUACUAAUACCCCAUAACAUCUAACCGGAGGCAUCUUCGGUGGUUGAAAACUCAGGUGGUCAGAGAUGGACAUGCGUUGUAUUAGCUAGUUGGUGAGGUAACGGCUCACCAAGGCGACGAUACAUAGGGGGACUGAGAGGUCAACCCCCCACAUUGGUACUGAGACACGGACCAAACUCCUACGGGAGGCAGCAG
This 269-nucleotide ribosomal RNA is filed under the name uncultured bacterium. RNAcentral describes it as "partial 16S ribosomal RNA". It matches the Rfam family "Bacterial small subunit ribosomal RNA", at positions 86 to 354 of the family's 1533-position model. The record is from RNAcentral.